Molecule: ribosomal RNA, 1350 nt
Filed under: metagenome
Description: bacterial LSU rRNA
Rfam family: Bacterial large subunit ribosomal RNA
Source: RNAcentral
UGAGUACGAGCUGCUACGGCAGCGAAGUGGGUGAUGUCAAGCUUCCAAGAAAAGCCCUAUACCCGUUAAGGCAUGAUGGCCUGUACCCGAAACCGACACAGGUGGGGUGGUAGAGAAUACCGAGGGGCGCGAGAUAACUCUCUCUAAGGAACUCGGCAAAAUGGCCCCGUAACUUCGGGAGAAGGGGUGCCACCGCAAGGUGGUCGCAGUGAAGAGGCCCAGGCGACUGUUUACCAAAAACACAGGUCUCCGCUAAGUCGCAAGACGAUGUAUGGGGGCUGACGCCUGCCCAGUGCCGGAAGGUUAAGGAAGCUGGUCAGCGUAAGCGAAGCUAGCGACUGAAGCCCCGGUGAACGGCGGCCGUAACUAUAACGGUCCUAAGGUAGCGAAAUUCCUUGUCGGGUAAGUUCCGACCCGCACGAAAGGCGUAACGAUCUGGGCGCUGUCUCGGAGAGAGGCUCGGCGAAAUAGAAUUGUCUGUGAAGAUGCGGACUACGUGCACCCGGACAGAAAGACCCUAUGAAGCUUUACUGUAGCUUGGUAUUGUGCUCGGGCUCGGAAUGCGCAGGAUAGGUGGGAGGCUAUGAACCAUUGCUUGUGGGUGAUGGUGAGCCACUGGUGAGAUACCACUCUUUCCGAGCUAGAGUUCUAACAGCCACCCGUUAUCCGGGGGCUGGACAGUAUCAGGUGGGCAGUUUGACUGGGGCGGUCGCCUCCUAAAAGGUAACGGAGGCGCGCAAAGGUUUGCUCAGGCUGGUUGGAAAUCAGCCGACGAGUGUAAAAGCAGAAGCAAGCUUGACUGUGAGACCUACAAGUCGAACAGGGAGGAAACUCGGCUUUAGUGAUCCGACGGUUCUGCGUGGAAGGGCCGUCGCUCAACGGAUAAAAGUUACUCUAAGGAUAACAGGCUGAUCUCCCCCAAGAGUUCACAUCGACGGGGAGGUUUGGCACCUCGAUGUCGGCUCAUCGCAACCUGGGGCUGAAGUCGGUCCCAAGGGUUGGGCUGUUCGCCCAUUAAAGCGGUACGCGAGCUGGGUUCAGAACGUCGUGAGACAGUUCGGUCCAUAUCCGGUGCAUGCGCAGGAAUAUUGAGAGGAUUUCUCCCUAGUACGAGAGGACCGGGAGGAACGCACCUCUGGUGUACCAGUUAUCGUGCCAACGGUAAACGCUGGGUAGCCAUGUGCGGAGAGGAUAACCGCUGAAAGCAUCUAAGUGGGAAGCCCACCUCAAGAUGAGUAUUCCCAUGGGUUAACCCAGUAAGGUCACGGGAAGAACACCCGUUGAUAGGCUCUACGUGGAAGCGCAGUAAUGUGUGAAGCGGAGGAGUACUAAUAGACCGAGGGCUUGACC